AUGAGACACCCACCAAAAUUAACAGAAAUCGAAGGUGUGGAAAGGAUCUCAGACAAGCGAAUCCAUCACUGUUACUGUACAGAUAAGAAAUGGAGGUCAAAUAGGAUUAGCAACUUGCUCCGGACUCCACAGGUAAUAAGACUCAGAAUCCAAAUACGUAUCUUCUGCUUGCUGGUGCAUUGUUCUUUCUUUUAUACCACACCAUCUGAUAGCCUCGCAU
RNAcentral lists this long non-coding RNA (220 nucleotides) under Papio anubis (olive baboon). RNAcentral describes it as "lncRNA (ENSPANG00000047098.1)". Lineage: Eukaryota; Metazoa; Chordata; Mammalia; Primates; Cercopithecidae. The record is from RNAcentral.